Molecule: ribosomal RNA, 301 nt
Filed under: uncultured bacterium
Lineage: Bacteria
Description: partial 16S ribosomal RNA
Rfam family: Bacterial small subunit ribosomal RNA
Source: RNAcentral
CAGUAGCCGCGGUAAUACGUAGGGUGCGAGCGUUAAUCGGAAUUACUGGGCGUAAAGCGUGCGCAGGCGGUUAUAUAAGACAGAUGUGAAAUCCCCGGGCUCAACCUGGGACCUGCAUUUGUGACUGUAUAGCUAGAGUACGGUAGAGGGGGAUGGAAUUCCGCGUGUAGCAGUGAAAUGCGUAGAUAUGCGGAGGAACACCGAUGGCGAAGGCAAUCCCCUGGACCUGUACUGACGCUCAUGCACGAAAGCGUGGGGAGCAAACAGGAUUAGAUACCCCAGUAGUCCCUGUCUCUUAUAC